RNAcentral lists this ribosomal RNA (462 nucleotides) under Canis lupus (wolf). Its description in RNAcentral is "partial large subunit ribosomal RNA". It matches the Rfam family "Bacterial large subunit ribosomal RNA", at positions 1966 to 2597 of the family's 2925-position model. The record is from RNAcentral. Lineage: Eukaryota; Metazoa; Chordata; Mammalia; Carnivora; Canidae.
CAUUUGUUCUCUAAAUAGGGACUUGUAUGAAUGGCCACACGAGGGUUUAACUGUCUCUUACUCCCAAUCAGUGAAAUUGACCUUCCCGUGAAGAGGCGGGAAUACCACAAUAAGACGAGAAGACCCUAUGGAGCUUUAAUUAACUAACCCAAACUUAUGGAUACUAGAUACCUACAAGGCAUAACAUAACACCAUUAUUAUGGGUUAGCAAUUUAGGUUGGGGUGACCUCGGAAUAUAAAAAAACUCCCGAGUGAUUAAAAUUUAGACCCACAAGUCAAAAUACAACAUCACUUAUUGAUCCAAUAAUUUUUGAUCAACGGAACAAGUUACCCUAGGGAUAACAGCGCAAUCCUAUUCAAGAGUCCAUAUCGACAAUAGGGUUUACGACCUCGAUGUUGGAUCAGGACAUCCUAAUGGUGCAGCAGCUAUUAAGGGUUCGUUUGUUCAACGAUUAAAGUCCU